CCCGUCCGCGUAGCAGCUCCACUGGGCUCCUCUUCCACUAGAAAAUGUCCGAUGCAGAUAAACAAUACGCUCAUGUCCUCCUCGACUCGUGGUUACCCACGUGUGAGUAUAUCAUCCUAGCACCAUCUCAGUAUCCGCAGACCAGAAGCGUUCCCAUCGAGCGCGUCCAGACGGAGGGCAUCCGGUCCCCAUAUUUAAUCGACGCCCGUAUAUUUCGAAUCUGGGCCACACUGAUGAAAAUAAAGUUUCAUUUCAUUUGUGCUGCCACCUCGGUGAUCAAAUCUUUUCAUUAUAGCGAUGUUGAUUUUACUUGGGUACCCACCAAAGACAAAUCUUUGAUGAAAGUGAUCCAUGUAUUGAUAUCUAUACCAGUUUUUGAUCUACUAUUUAUUUGGUCUAGUACACGUCUCAUUAACAACUCCUUGCUUCUCUGGUCAACCUUGUUGGAAAGUAAUGCUACAGUAACAAACAACCUGUGAAAGCUCCCUUGCUAAUUUCUAUACUUCUCCAAUUGAAAAUUUUACCGAUAUGAUGGUCUGCUAGAACAUUGGCCCUUCAUUUAUUGUAAGGAAAUCUACUUAAUACCUAAAAGUACAAGUAGGUGCUGGUACAUGGUGUUCAGGUUUAACUUUUUUUAACAUGUAAAUGGGGAUAAGCAAGCAAUUAAUUCCAGCGGCAUUUCUGUGCUUAAGAACCAAAGAAUACGGUUCAAUUCUGAGAUGGUACUUGACUGUCUAAUUUUUGUGAUUGUCACUAAUUAACCAUGUGGUCUACAUUUUAGCUAGUUCUAAAAUAUCUUUUGACAAGUUCAUGUAGGAGGAGCUCAAGGGUGUUUGGGUGCCAAAACAACAAUAGUUCAAUAGAGUAAAAGUAACUAUAGUUCUUGUUAAUGAUAUGGGAGGCAGAGAUGUGCUAAAUGUGAGAAAUAAUCCUGCUUUAAUUUGCAUGCUAAUAAAUAUAUAUAAAGUUUGUUGCACCAAACAUUAGUUAAUAAAGCUAAUCAUAUAAUUAGGUUAGGUGAAGACGGAUUGAUUGAAUCAAGGUGUGAGACUAAUUUUACCCCUCCUCAUGUUUAUAUGUCAUAUUUGAUGAAUUGAGUCUUCGCAACAAUGUGAAACGUACUCAGGAGUAGAAACAUAGGCCAUUUAUUGUGUGAGGAUCAAACAGAAAAUUGCGAGAAAGGUAGGGUGGUUAGCCAUAUUUUUCAUUUUAAAAUUUAAAUUGACUUUAAUCUUUACAAAAACUUACUCUUAAAGCGCAAGAAAUGCAUGUCUUCUUUUUCCAAGAAAGCAUCUCCACAGAUUUUCAUGCAUGGAUGUGAGAGAAAUAGUAAUCUUUGAGCCUAGCAAAAUAUGAUCCUUGAAAAGCAAAUAACACAGCCCAAACAUAGAACAUGAGAUAGAGAGGGUUGCGCUAUAUUUUUCACGCUAAAGAAUGAUUGACCUUCUUUCACGAUGCUGACUAUUGGAUUACACUUUGCACAGGUGUCAAAGCACAUCCACUGCAUAGAUCUCGAAGCAAGUAUUGCAUGAUCCAACAGUGGAUACAUGCAAAGGAAGAUGAAUUCUUUUGUGUGAAAGAUACAAUCCUCAUAGAGAAAAAAAUUAGGGGAUGGCGAGAAAAAUAAACAUGUCUUUCACUAUCUCAUUUCCUAAUCUUGAUGAGGUGUAGCAAAGGAUGAUGUAGAUCAAAUACGGCCACCCAAAUUAGAGCACCGCCAAAACCUUUUUCUUUCCACCUAACAUGUAUCAAUUCAUGCCUCAAACCAUAGUCCUUUCUGAUGGUUUAUGAUAUAUAAUUGGAGGAUGAUACCAUAAGAGGUGUUAAGAAAUGUGUGGGAGGGGAAGAGGAUGCCAGGAGUAGUUAGAUAUAGAUGUCACCAUCUCCUAACCUCAAUCUUAGUGAUAUUUAAGGAGGAAGGAAGGAGAAAAGGUCUUGGUUCAUUUAAGCGAACAGCUGGAGUCCAAGAGAAAUAGACAUUCCAACCUAUGACUAUUAGUGCAUGUCAUGCCUAACCUAUGGCCCCAACAAACCAAUCAGUGAGGCCAAGGACCACUCCUAGUGUCACAAUCCAUCUUUAGGUACUAAUAUCUGGAAUCGAGAGAAGAUACAAGGAUCACAUUAAAAUAAAACACGUUAUACAUCAACUUGCAUCUAAUUUUGAUGAACAUAAGACCAUGCAAAUAUUUUACACUAGCAUUCACCCAAACAAGAAGGAUAUGUUCCAAGUUGAUUUGACACCUCGAAUGGCUCUUCGUCACUUGGGGCUUUAGCAUGUUCCAAGGGUUGGGUUGUUCGCCCAUUAGAGCAAUACAUGAGCUGGGUUCAGAAGAUCUUGAGAUAGUUUGGUUCAUAUUCGGUGCGGGCGAUAGAGCAUUAAUAGGGCAUUUCCCUAAUAUAAAAGAAUCGAGAAAGAUACAACUUUGGUGUACCAAUUAUCGUGCCCAUGGUAUAUAUUGGGUAGCCAAGUACCGAGCGGAAAAUUGCUAAAAAUAUUUAAAUAGUAAGCCCAUCCCAAGAUGAGUGCUCUCCUAUUACAAGUGUGGACCAUAUUUUGGGCAAUGAAUCUUUCCAACUACUAUUGACAGAUAAGGAGGUUUCCGAAACCAACUAAGCUAAAUUGAAGUUU
Molecule: ribosomal RNA, 2629 nt
Filed under: Phoenix dactylifera (date palm)
Lineage: Eukaryota; Viridiplantae; Streptophyta; Magnoliopsida; Arecales; Arecaceae
Description: bacterial LSU rRNA
Rfam family: Bacterial large subunit ribosomal RNA (bases 2098-2560)
Source: RNAcentral